CUAAAUGCUGUGAGAUAACUCGGUGGCGCCCUGCAAGUUCAUAGCCGUUGUAUUGUAAUGCACAGUCACGAUCCUUCUCGCCACCUUCUCACUCAGCCUGUGUUCAACCCCACUGAAAUUAACUGGAUUUUGUACAUGGUGAUUUGUGAGAAUGGGGGAAAAAAAACCCCAAACCCCAUAAAGCUCAUCUGAGCUCCUCUAAUGAGGUGACCUGUGCAUUUGUAUGUUUGUGUGUACAUACAUACAUAGAUGAGCCUUUGUUCCAAGCGGAUUGACGUGCACAGAAUCAGGAUUGUUUAUGCACACCUUGCAUACCUCACAAGGAAGUAAUUAAAUUAAAAAGUUAUUCAGUAGUUGUGGACAGCAUGUAUAUGUAGACUGAAGCCAUCGAAGGUUUUCAGUUUCAGGGUAACCACACCUGUCUGCAAAUGCUGUCCCUAAUUUGUACUUGAUGAGAAGCUGAAAUCUACUGGAAAUGGAGUAUUUUAGCUCUAGUUUUGGUUAAUCUCAGCAGGUGGCAGCAUGUGGGACAGUAAUUUAAUCUCUUGGAUGUCAGAGAUACUUAACAUUUGGAAGCACAGAAAAUACCUCAGGAAGGCAGGAAACCAGUGCACACCAUUGCAGCUUAUGUUGGCUCUGCCUGUUGGAAUGCAAAAACUAGCACUAGGAUAUUUCUGUCUUCAUGACUUCAUGUUUUGCUGUCACCAAGCAUAGCUGGCAAGGCCUUGCAACAAGCUGCAAAAUCUUUCCCAGUUCUGAAAUGGCAGAGAACUCACAGCAUUCUGGUGCAGAGAAAGUGACCCUGUGUGAUGCUACACUGUGCCAUGGCUCUGCUCUCAUCACAUCCCCUAACACUGUGGUAUGUUAUGCUCCUUGUGUGACCUCAGGGGAUCCUGACACGCGACCUGACAGACGUCAUGUCAUGCACCAACCUCAUGUAAGAUGAGAGGUAUGAUGUUGCUCCAUCAUAAAGAGAUUAUGUGUCUCUGCAUUCGUCUUAAUCAUGUCAGUGGGUUCAGCAGCUUGUCUCCUUGCUGUUGAGAAUGUGAUAAGAGAUUGCUUACAAAGUGAAACAAUAGUGGGAAUAAAAGGUCAGACCUUGGAAAAGCUAGGAGGAUCAAAUUGUCAUGGUUCAAGGCACAGUUAUGGACUGAGGUGUCUAACCUUUUCUUAGCUUUUGGUCAGCGAUUGUACGUAGGUGAGGUGAAAAACCAAGAUUUUGUCCACCAGUUUUAGGCUGCUUUAAGGCAAGCAGUGCUCCAGUACCAUUCAAGUGAUAUUUUAUUUCAAUCCAUAAAGUGAAUGUAACUAGUGUGCCCAUAAGUAAAGACCAACAGUAUUCUGAAGUAUAAAAAAUGUCAA
Molecule: non-coding RNA, 1362 nt
Organism: Cyanistes caeruleus (blue tit)
Lineage: Eukaryota; Metazoa; Chordata; Aves; Passeriformes; Paridae
Source: RefSeq, a predicted model, not a curated record